UGGGGAAUAUUGCUCAAUGGGCGCAAGCCUGAUGCAGCCAUGCCGCGUGUAUGAAGAAGGCCUUCGGGUUGUAAAGUACUUUCAGUCGGGAGGAAGGUGUCAAGGUUAAUAACCUUGUCAAUUGACGUUACCGACAGAAGAAGCACCGGCUAACUCCGUGCCAGCAGCCGCGGUAAUACGGAGGGUGCAAGCGUUAAUCGGAAUUACUGGGCGUAAAGCGCACGCAGGCGGUCUGUCAAGUCGGAUGUGAAAUCCCCGGGCUCAACAUGGGAACUGCAUUCGAAACUGGCAGGCUAGAGUCUGGUAGAGGGGGGUAGAAUUCCAGGUGUAGCGGUGAAAUGCGUAGAGAUAUGGAGGAAUACCGGUGGCGAAGGCGGCCCCCUGGACAAAGACUGACGCUCAGGUGCGAAAGCGUGGGGAGCAAACAGG
Molecule: ribosomal RNA, 429 nt
Filed under: Chloroflexota bacterium
Lineage: Bacteria; Bacillati; Chloroflexota
Description: Chloroflexi bacterium partial 16S ribosomal RNA
Rfam family: Bacterial small subunit ribosomal RNA
Source: RNAcentral